CGUGAAAGUGUUGAAAGGGAAGCGUUUAUGACCAGACUUGGACUUGGUUAAUCAUCUGGGGUUCUCCCCAGUGCACUUUUCCAGUUCAGGCCAGCAUCAGUUUUCCCCGGGGGAUAAAGGCGGCGGGAAUGUGGCUCUCUUCGGGGAGUGUUAUAGCCCGCCGUGUAAUACCCUGGGGGGGACUGAGGUUCGCGCAUCUGCAAGGAUGCUGGCGUAAUGGUCAUCAACGACCCGUCUUGAAACACGG
RNAcentral lists this ribosomal RNA (247 nucleotides) under Fusarium sp. Its description in RNAcentral is "partial large subunit ribosomal RNA". It matches the Rfam family "Eukaryotic large subunit ribosomal RNA", at positions 398 to 664 of the family's 3401-position model. The record is from RNAcentral. Lineage: Eukaryota; Fungi; Ascomycota; Sordariomycetes; Hypocreales; Nectriaceae.